RNAcentral lists this long non-coding RNA (869 nucleotides) under Helianthus annuus (common sunflower). RNAcentral's name for it is "hypothetical non coding rna". Lineage: Eukaryota; Viridiplantae; Streptophyta; Magnoliopsida; Asterales; Asteraceae. The record is from RNAcentral.
UGCAACUUCAAUCAAAAUAGAUCUGCAACUCUGAAAAAACAGAUUUGCGACUCCGACGAUCAUUGUUCAUCAUCCUCAUCGUUCAUCGGUCUGAUUCCGGCGAUCAUUGUUCAUCAAAACAGAUCUGCGACUCACGGUAGAUCUGGUAUCAUCGGAUGAACUACAGCAGAAGUCGUGGUUUUGUGGCAGGGGUCAUGGUCAAGGUGUGGUGGCAGAGAAGCAGUGGGAAGAUGUACACCAUGACUGGCAUCACUCAAUAUGCAAUUUCAGACAUAUUUGACCACAUUAACCAGCAAAACAAUAGAGAAUUUGUGUUGAAAUUUCCCGCCAUUGAAAUAUAAAACGAAUUUGUUAGAGACCUUCUCAGUGCAGACGCUACUCCACUUAGACUCCUUGAUGAUCCAGAGGUGGGUAUUAUUUUAUUAAUUAAACAAACAAUUUUGAAGUUAAUUAAGUUGUUUUUGAUGCAAACAUAAAGGAACACUUGAUGAACUCACAGAGAUCCAUUUGGAGGACUUAAGUCGUAAUGUAUUCAGAUUAAAUGAAGUGUGGAACUUUUAGGGAAUGGAAAACGAAGAGGAUCUGUGAAGAGGCAGCUGAUUGUGUAUAAUGCUGACUACAAAAUGAAGGGGAGGUUGGGGAGGCACUAGCUGAGGCAUUCAAGACAGGAUUGGUGAAGAGGGAGGAUCUUUUCAUUACUACAAAGGAGUUGGUACAACUGCAAGUGCAUUGAAUGAAUAGGGUGUUUUGGAUAUUGACACCACAAUUUCGUUGGAGACUACCUGGCAUGCUAUGGACCAAACGGUUUCCAUGGGAUUGGUUCGUAGCAUUGGGAUCAGAUCGAAAGGUUGAACGUGAUUAUCCAAGAU